RNAcentral lists this ribosomal RNA (1248 nucleotides) under Candidatus Phytoplasma pruni. Its description in RNAcentral is "bacterial SSU rRNA". It matches the Rfam family "Bacterial small subunit ribosomal RNA", at positions 153 to 1399 of the family's 1533-position model. Lineage: Bacteria; Bacillati; Mycoplasmatota; Mollicutes; Acholeplasmatales; Acholeplasmataceae. The record is from RNAcentral.
GAAACGACUGCUAAGACUGGAUAGGAAAAGUGAAGGCAUCUUUACUUUUUUAAAAGACCUUCUUUGAAGGUAUGCUUAAGGAGGGGCGUGCGACACAUUAGUUAGUUGGCAGGGUAAAGGCCUACCAAGACUAUGAUGUGUAGCUGGACUGAGAGGUUGAACAGCCACAUUGGGACUGAGACACGGCCCAAACUCCUACGGGAGGCAGCAGUAGGGAAUUUUCGGCAAUGGAGGAAACUCUGACCGAGCAACGCCGCGUGAACGAUGAAGUACCUCGGUAUGUAAAGUUCUUUUAUUAAGGAAGAAAAAAGAGUGGAAAAACUCCCUUGACGGUACUUAAUGAAUAAGCCCCGGCUAAUUAUGUGCCAGCAGCCGCGGUAAUACAUAAGGGGCGAGCGUUAUCCGGAAUUAUUGGGCGUAAAGGGUGCGUAGGCGGUUUAAUAAGUCUAUAGUUUAAUUUCAGCGCUUAACGCUGUUGUGCUAUAGAAACUGUUUUACUAGAGUGAGAUAGAGGCAAGCGGAAUUCCAUGUGUAGCGGUAAAAUGCGUAAAUAUAUGGAGGAACAUCAGAGGCGUAGGCGGCUUGCUGGGUCUUUACUGACGCUGAGGCACGAAAGCGUGGGGAGCAAACAGGAUUAGAUACCCUGGUAGUCCACGCCGUAAACGAUGAGUACUAAGUGUCGGGUAAAACCGGUACUGAAGUUAACACAUUAAGUACUCCGCCUGAGGAGUACGUACGCAAGUAUGAAACUUAAAGGAAUUGACGGGACUCCGCACAAGCGGUGGAUCAUGUUGUUUAAUUCGAAGAUACACGAAAAACCUUACCAGGUCUUGACAUUUUCUUGCGAAGUUAUAGAAAUAUAAUGGAGGUUAUCAGGAAAACAGGUGGUGCACGGNUUGUCGUCAGCUCGUGUCGUGAGAUGUUAGGUUAAGUCCUAAAACGAGCGCAACCCUUGUCGUUAAUUGCCAGCAUGUAAUGAUGGGGACUUUAACGAGACUGCCAAUGAAAAAUUGGAGGAAGGUGGGGAUUACGUCAAAUCAUCAUGCCCCUUAUGAUCUGGGCUACAAACGUGAUACAAUGGUUGAUACAAAGAGUAGCUGAAACGCGAGUUCUUAGCCAAUCUCACAAAAUCAAUCUCAGUUCGGAUUGAAGUCUGCAACUCGACUUCAUGAAGUUGGAAUCGCUAGUAAUCGUGAAUCAGCAUGUCGCGGUGAAUACGUUCUCGGGGUUUGUACACACCGCCCGUCA